This is a long non-coding RNA of Nicotiana attenuata, 1951 nucleotides long. RefSeq lists it as uncharacterized. The transcript is spliced from 3 exons. NCBI's taxonomy places the organism in Eukaryota, Viridiplantae, Streptophyta, Magnoliopsida, Solanales, Solanaceae. The record is from RefSeq and is a predicted model, not a curated record.
UUUAGGACAUAGAAGAAUUUUCCAGCAUCAACUUCUUCUCUUUCUUCCACGGGCAUUCUUCUCAAUGGUAACUUCUCCUCCUCUAAAACAUUUCUUCCUCAUCUUCCCUCUUAUUCUUCUUUUCCUUUCUUUUUGGAAUUUUUAGGGCUAGACUGCUAGGGUUUGUGAAUAACUCUAAAAAUAAGCAGAAGUUAUUUUUUUAUUAUAAAGUUAUGGUUUUACGGAAUAUUAGAUUUCUUGAAUAUUUAGGGAUUUAACUAAUUUUCUACUUUGAUAUGUAUGAUAGUUUCAACAUUUGUUUUUUUUUGAAAUUUUAGGUAUUGCAAAAAAGAAAAAAGUACUCCUUAACCAGAAAUUUAUGCUUAAUCUUCUAUCUUUAGAUGUUUCUAGCCCUUUUUGGUUUGUCGUUUUCUUAAUAUUUUGUAUCAUUAUGUUUUAUGUUCAAAUACUAAAUAUGCUAGGGUUGUAUUUGAAACUUUCUAUGUUAGGCAGAGAUGUCUAUAGAGAUUAAUGAGGAGGCGAUUGAUGAUUUAGAGAUUAGUUCUUCAGUCCCAAUAAAACGAGUUAAAAAAAAUACUUUUGUUAGUUGGAAUACUUUUUAAAAAUUACCUCUUGCUAGCAAUGGUGAAAGAGGCAAAGCGCAAUAUAAAGUCUAUAAGAUGAUCUAUGUGGCAACUCUAGGUAUGGAACUUCAAAUUUGAAGCGACAUAUUGAUACACACAUAGAUAAUAGACAAGAGCGUAUGAGUGAGCCAAUUGAUCAAGCAAUUUAUCGUGAGAAAUUGUCCGUGACAAUUCUGAAGCAUAGUUAUCCUUUCAGCUUUGCCGAGCAUCAAGGAAACAGGGAUAUCCACUUGCAUUUAAAUCCAAAGGUGAAAACUAUUUUAAGAAAUAUCGCCAAGUUAGUUGAUACUGAUUUUAAAUAUGGCCUCUCUGAUGAGGAAUAGAAAAAGUUAGAGACUAUUGCUAAGUUUUUCAAGCCAUUUUAUGACACCACUACAUUGUUUUCUAGAAGCAAAUACCCAACUGCUAAUUUGUAUCUACCUAAUGUGUGAAAAUUUCAAAUGUUGUUAGAGGAAGAAAGAGAUGGUAGUGAACCAAUUAUGAAUGAUAUGGCUACAUUAAUGUUAAGAAAGUUUAAAAAAUAUUGGAGGUCUUACAGUAAGAUCUUAUCACUUGAUCAUGUGACUACUGAUGCAAAGGUAAAAGUUGUUGAAGAUCAUUUGCAAUUAUUGUUCAACGAAUACCUUGUGCCUUCGACCUCAAUUUCCUUAUCGGGGGAGCAUGUUUAUGGUAGAAAUAUCAAUGAAGCAAGAGAUGGGCUUGAGGAGUUUGACGUAUUUGAAAACCAGUUGGAGUCUGGUAGAGAUAAAACACAAUUACAUUUGUACUUGGAGGAGCCUAAUCUUGACCGUAAAGUAAAUCCAAAUUUGGAUGUACUUGUUUUUUUGGAAGGAAAGUAGACUAAGGUUCCCAGAACUCUUAUUGAUGGCACGAGAUGUCUUGAGUUUACCUAUUACCACCGUAGCCUCAGAAUCUACCUUUGCAUGGGAGGUCGCAUUAUUGGGAAGUUUCAAAGUUCUAUUUUACCUGCAAAUGCGGAGGCAAAGUUAUGUAUUAGAGAUUGGCUUUGCGGGCAAGAAGUAAGAUUAAAAUGGAUCAGAUACUGAGGAGGAUGAAAUUGCGGUAGACCUUCAGCUGUAUCUUGAUAAACUUGAUUCGCAUUGAUAGAUUUGUUAUGGAGUAAGCAAGAAAAAAUUAUUGAAGGAUGUUCUGGAUUUUGUUGUUAUGCUUGGGAAAGUUGCAUUUGUUGCCUAGUCUUUGUGGUUUAUUAUGUUUCUGCAACAUUAUGUAUCUACUAUUUCUAUUUUGCAAUAUUAUGUAUCUAUUUUAUGACUUCAUCUGCAAUACUAUUGAGUUAUUUUUUAUUGAAUAAUAUGAAAAUGGUGGAA